GUAGGCAAGAUGCCGCAGGUCAGAUGCCUUCUGGCGGCCCCCACGCUAGGCGCCUUCUAAGCGCUUGGCCGCAGGUUCGAGUCCUGCCGGGG
This 92-nucleotide transfer RNA is filed under the name Streptomyces eurocidicus. Its description in RNAcentral is "tRNA-Arg". The record is from RNAcentral. Lineage: Bacteria; Bacillati; Actinomycetota; Actinomycetes; Kitasatosporales; Streptomycetaceae.